RNAcentral lists this ribosomal RNA (328 nucleotides) under uncultured eukaryote. Its description in RNAcentral is "partial 18S ribosomal RNA". It matches the Rfam family "Eukaryotic small subunit ribosomal RNA", at positions 1470 to 1796 of the family's 1831-position model. The record is from RNAcentral.
CCCUUAGAUGUCCUGGGCCGCACGCGCGCUACACUGAUGCAUGCAACGAGUUUAUAACCUUGGCCUGAAAGGUCUGGGUAAUCUUUUGAACGAGCAUCGUGAUAGGGAUGGAUUAUUGCAAUUGUUAAUCUUGAACGAGGAAUUCCUAGUAAACGCGAGUCAUCAGCUCGCAUUGAUUACGUCCCUGCCCUUUGUACACACCGCCCGUCGCACCUACCGAUUGAAUGGUUCGGUGAAGAUCUCGGACUUCGAUAUUUAUUCUUUAUUGAGUUUAUAUUGUGGGAAGUUAUCUAAACCUCAUCAUUUAGAGGAAGGUGAAGUCGUAACA